RNAcentral lists this ribosomal RNA (253 nucleotides) under uncultured bacterium. RNAcentral describes it as "partial 16S ribosomal RNA". It matches the Rfam family "Bacterial small subunit ribosomal RNA", at positions 524 to 776 of the family's 1533-position model. The record is from RNAcentral.
UACGUAGGGCGCAAGCGUUGUCCGGAAUUAUUGGGCGUAAAGAGCUCGUAGGCGGCCAGUUGCGUCUGCUGUGAAAUCCCGGGGCUCAACCCCGGGCGUGCAGUGGAUACGGGCUGGCUAGAGGCAGGCAGGGGAGAACGGAAUUCCCGGUGUAGCGGUGAAAUGCGCAGAUAUCAGGAGGAACACCGGUGGCGAAGGCGGGUCUCUGGGCCGUAACUGACGCUGAGGAGCGAAAGCGUGGGGAGCGAACAGG